GGAGAGAUCGCAUAGUGGUCUAGUGCGCUCGCUUGGAAAGCGAGUAGACCUGCAAGGGUCUCGGGGGUUCGAAUCCCCCUCUCUCCGCCA
This 90-nucleotide transfer RNA is filed under the name Patescibacteria group bacterium. RNAcentral's name for it is "tRNA-Ser". It matches the Rfam family "tRNA". From Rfam's summary of the family: Transfer RNA (tRNA) molecules are approximately 80 nucleotides in length. Their secondary structure includes four short double-helical elements and three loops (D, anti-codon, and T loops). The record is from RNAcentral.